GUGUCAGCCGCCGCGGUAAAACGUAGGUACCGAGCGUUAUCCGGAUUUACUGGGCGUAAAGCGCGUUCAGGCGGUUUGGCAAGUCGGGCAUGAAAUCUCUCGGCUCAACCGGGAGAGGUUGUCCGAUACUGCUGGACUUGAGGGCAGUAGAGGGUGGUGGAAUUCCGGGUGUAGUGGUGAAAUGCGUAGAUAUCCGGAGGAACACCAGUGGCGAAAGCGGCCACCUGGACUGUACCUGACGCUGACACGCGAAAGCUAGGGGAGCGAACGGGAUUAGAAACCCUCGUAGUCC
RNAcentral lists this ribosomal RNA (292 nucleotides) under uncultured bacterium. RNAcentral describes it as "partial 16S ribosomal RNA". It matches the Rfam family "Bacterial small subunit ribosomal RNA", at positions 505 to 796 of the family's 1533-position model. The record is from RNAcentral.